This is a non-coding RNA of Cytidiella melzeri, 95 nucleotides long. The record is from the annotation of a GenBank genome assembly. Lineage: Eukaryota; Fungi; Basidiomycota; Agaricomycetes; Polyporales; Irpicaceae.
GGCGCUAUAGCCAAGUGGUUAAGGCGAUUGAUUAGAAUCAUUUGAUUACGAUCAAUUCCACUUUGUGGGCGCAGGUUCAAAUCCUGCUGGCGUCG